This 3151-nucleotide long non-coding RNA is filed under the name Sus scrofa (pig). RNAcentral describes it as "lncRNA (ENSSSCG00005004493.1)". The record is from RNAcentral. Lineage: Eukaryota; Metazoa; Chordata; Mammalia; Artiodactyla; Suidae.
UUUUUUUUUUUUUUUUUUUUUUUUUUUUGUCUUUUUGUCUUUUUGUUUUUUCUAGGGCCGCUCCUGCGGCACAUGGAGAUUCCCAGGCUGGGGGUCUAAUCGGAGCUGUAGCCGCUGGCCUACACCAGAGCCACAGCAACACAGGAUCUGAGCCGCAUCUGGGACCUACACCACAGUUCAUAGCAACGCCAGGUCCUUAACCCACUGAGCAAGGCCAGGGAUCAAACCUGAAACCUCAUGGUUCCUAGUUGGAUUCGUUAACCACUGAGCCACAACAGGAACUCCACCUGCCCUCAUCUUUGACAUCACUGGAGAACACAGAGGUGACACCAUAAAAUCUACAUCUUUGGCCUUUGUGGAAUGGGGACAUAUGUGGCUUACCAGGAGAGUCCCAGCCCAUGUGAUGACCCUCUUGGCAUUAGAAGCUGGAUCAUUUCUUUUCUUUUCUUUUCUUUGGCACAAGGCAGGUGCUGCACCCACAGCAUGCAGAAGUUCCGGGGCCAGGGAUUGAACCUGUGCCAUGGUAGCAACCCAAGCCACAGCAGUGACAACACCAGAUCCUUAACCGACUGAGCCACCAGGGAACUCCAGAAGUUAGAUCAUUUUCAUCAACUAGUCAAAGAGAGAAGGUUGCAGGGGAGACCAGAGCAACAUUUGUCAAAGCUAGUGCCCUGCCCCUGGCUUCAUCCAGCUACAUGUGGAAAAGGAUAUCUCCAUCCAAACAUCAGGACAAGAAUAUAAGAGGCCUGUGAGAGCUCCUGGGAGAGAUGAUGGCUCAGCAAGUUAGGUCCAGGGCUCAGAUGGCCAGAUCCAGAUCUGACGGGCAGCUUGUUUACAAAGCUUAACUCUGGACAAGCUACGGGAGCCAAGGUCUCCUAAGAAACACGGCCUUUGUCCCCCCAGGCUGGAUAAGGCGUCUCUAGGGGUAUUGGGUUAGCAAUGCACACGUCACUGCCUCUCAGCCUGACUCCUCCUCAGGGACCAUCUGCUCGAGGCUGACACACCCCUUUCAGGGCACGGCAGCUCAGCCAGCCCUUUGCUCACUCUCCCCGUUCUCUGCGGUAUCAUCCUUCUCCCCCCACUGUGGAUCUCACAGGCAAACAUCACUUCACAGCUUUCUCAGCCUCACUCCAUGUAUUUCCCUCCUUUGAGGGAAAGCCCCAUUUUACAGAUGAGGAUGCUGAACACCGGGGACUUCAGGCAGCUUGCCCAGCCUACACAGCUGCGGAGGAGCAAAGCCAGCAUGGGAAUCCAUGUCUUCUGGCUCCAAAUUCAGCAUUGUUUUCCCUCCUAAUUCCCAUUUCCUGUCUGUCUGAAUAGCCCUCCAGUCCCCUUGGCCUUAAAGCUCCCAGGAGCUCAGCCAGAGCGAGCUUGCUUCCAGGCUGUGAUCUGGCCCUGACACUGGGAGAGGGUGUGAGAGCUUCUUGUCUGACAGUCUGAAAACAAGGCAGAUUUUCAUAGACCCAGAGAAGAUAUGUUGACCCCCAAGAUCUGCUCCGUGGGUCUCCAGGGGUCCCUAGCCAGAAUUCUGGAGGUGGUCUCUGAGGGGAGGGGCAACUUUCUAGGUGGUCUGGCUGCCAGUCCUGACCACCCCCAGCGCUCACCCUUGGUUCCUUUUUGGGAACUACCCCCCUCCCCCGCUGGUGGCGCCCUUGCAGGUGACCCCACUCAUUUUCCAUCAACCAAAAGGCAGAAUCACCAUGGCUCCAAUGAAGGGCUCUCCGAGAGCACGGACCCACUCGUAAAAUGAGAAAACUCAGAGAGGGGCAGCGAUCUGCUCCAGGCCACACAGCAAAUUAGAGGAAAUUCCAGAACUGGAGCCAAGCCUCCUGGCUGUUCAUCCAGCGCUCUCCCUCGUGCACUGCGUACAGUCCUCGUCCCAUUCUGUAUAUUUCAUAGCCAGUACUUUCCGUCCUAGACGCCACGUCCAUGUUCACCUGCCUCCUUUAUAUUGUACAAGAGCCCUGUGCAUGGAGUAUUACUGGAGCCGUUGCACACUUAGGAAAAACAAUCAUUUGCUAGCUAGAAUAACAGAGCCACCAAGUCCAGUCUUCAGACUUGCAUGCUUUUCAUUAAACCAUGCUGCUUCAUGAGUACAGCCCCCUCCACCUGAAUAGUGACUCCUGAGAGAACAGAUUUAAUUGGAAGUGUCCGGGAGUUCCCGUUGUGGCUCAGUGGUUAACGAAUCCGACUAGGAACCAUGAGGAACUCCUUUAUUUUAAUGAUGUGGAAAGAGGCUCACAAAGGGAAAGUAGUGGCACAAGGUCACAUGGGAAGUUAGUGGCAGGUUUGGGACUGGGAUUCAGGCCUGCAACUUCCCAGUCCGCCCCUGAUGACAUAGGUUUCAGUCAGUUCCAUCAUUUAUACCUUUUUUUUUUUUUAGGGCUGCACCUGCAGCAUAUGGAGGUUCCCAGGCUAGGGGUCGAAUUGGAGCUACAGCUGCCAGCCAACACCACAGCCACAGCAACUUGGAAUCUGAACAGCAUCUGCAACCUACAACACAGCUCACAGCAACUCCAGACCCUGACGCACUGAGCAAGCCCAAGGAUCAAACCUGCAUCCUCAUGGAUACUAGUCAGAUUUGUUUCUGCUGUGCCACAACAGGAGCUCCUUUAUACCCAUUUUUGCAGAUGAGGAAACAAGCUUAGAUUGCUCAAAGAACUGGGAAGUAGCAAAACAAAUACAAGGCAUUUACUUGACAGGUUUGAGGCAAGAUCAGAAAAUGAACCGAGAGCUGAGAGUCAUUGGCAGCAGGGUGGUGCAGUAGAAAAAGAGCUGGAAUGGGAGUCUAGGCCCUUGCAAGGACCAUGGUUUGGUCAGCGAUUAUUUUCUUCAAUACCAAAACCUUAAUUCCAAAGUCCAGUUUGCUCCGGAGAGCUUUUCUUCCCCUGGAAGGUGUGUGUGUGUAUGUGUGUACUAUAUGAAAAGUGCACCCAAGCUAGGGAAAAAUUAAGAAAGGAUGGUUACUCUGCAUAGGCAGUGCAUUUGGGACCAGAGGUGUGAUACCAACAGACCACGAGGGUUUCCUAAGAUCUUCAGGGAAAAGUCCUGGCCAGUAGCCUCACCGGGCACUUGGACAGAAAGAGAUCGCCAAACGGACCGCAGACCCGGAGCUGAACUCUCCCUCCAUCCCAGCAUCCAGCACCUGCGU